Molecule: long non-coding RNA, 1511 nt
Filed under: Numida meleagris (helmeted guineafowl)
Lineage: Eukaryota; Metazoa; Chordata; Aves; Galliformes; Numididae
Description: lncRNA (ENSNMEG00000001892.1)
Source: RNAcentral
CCGCUGGUCAGCGCCCGCUCCUCCCGCCCCAUCCGACCCCCCCGGCGCUUCGUGGCAGAGGGGGACGGCGGGACGGCGCAUGGGGACGCACGGACGGCGGCCGGGGACGGCGCAGAGGGGACCGGUGACAACCGGGACGGCACGAAGGGCAGCGGGGGCAAGAGGGCGGCUGCUGGGGACAAUGGGACACUGGUUGGUGACACCGGUUGGUGGCAGGGCGAAGUGUAGCGGUGACAAGCAAGCGGCUGUUGGGGACAAUGUGACACCGGUUGGUGACAGCCCAAAGAGGACCGGUGACAAGCGGGCGGCUGUUGGGGACAACGUGAUGGCAGCUGGUGACAGCCCAAAGUGCAGCGGUGACAAGCGGGCGGCUGUUGGGGACAAUGUGACGCUGCCUGGUGGCAGGGUUAAGUGGACUGGUGACAAGCGGGCGGCUGUUGGGGACAAUGUGACACCAGUUGGUGGCAGGGCUAAGUGGACCGGUGACAACCGAGCGGCUGUUGGGGACAACGUGAUGGCAGCUGGUGACAGCCCAAAGAGGACCGGUGACAAGCGGGUGGCUGUUGGGGACAGGGUGACACCGGUUGGUGGCAGGGCUAAGUGGACCGGUGACAAGCGGGCGGCUGUUGGGGACAAUGUGAUGGCAGCUGGUGACAGCCCAAAGAGGACUGGUGACAAGCGAGCGGCUGUUGGGGACAAUGUGACACCGGCUGGUGACAGCCCAAAGAGGACCGGUGACAACCGGGCAGGUGUUGGGGACAAUGUGACAGCAGCUGGUGGCGAUGCAGAGGGGACCAGUGACAAUCAGGAGGUUGUUGGGGACAGUGUGACACCAAUCAGUGGCAGUGCAAGGCGUACCGGUGACAACGGGACGGCUGUUGGGGACAAUGUGACGCCGGUUGGUGGCAGUGCAAGGCGUACGGGUGACAACGGGACAACUCUUGGGGACAGUGUGACACCAAUCGGUGGCAGUGCUAAGUGGACCGGUGACAACGGGACGGCUGUUGGGGACAAGCGGACAGCUCUCGGUGACAACGUCACCCCGACCGGUGACAGCCCGGCGUCCCUUGGUGACAACCUGCCAGGCACGGGUGACACCGCCACUCCGCUCGGUCACAAGCGGACGGCGCUCGGUGACAACGUGACGCACGGCGGGGACAGCCCGGCACACCGCACUGCCACCACCGCCACGGCUCCGGGUGACACCGUGACACCUCUGGGUGACGUCAUGAUGCCUCCGGGUGACACCAUGACAGCUCCAGGUGACACCGUGAUGCUUCCGGGUGACACCGUGACUUGGCCGGGUGACACCGUGACAGCUGCGGGUGACACUGUGACACCUCCAGGUGACGCCGUGACAACGCCGGGUGACACCGUGAGACGUCCAGGUGACGCCAUGACGCCUUCGGGUGACACCGUGACUCCUCCGAGUGACACCGUGACAUCUCCAGGUGACACCAUGACAGCUCCGGGUGACACCGUGACACUUCCAGGUGACACCGUGACACUUC